This 275-nucleotide long non-coding RNA is filed under the name Fukomys damarensis (Damara mole-rat). RNAcentral's name for it is "lncRNA (ENSFDAG00000027491.1)". Lineage: Eukaryota; Metazoa; Chordata; Mammalia; Rodentia; Bathyergidae. The record is from RNAcentral.
CAUUCUCAUGCCCCCCAUGUCUUCCCACCUAAGCCAUCCCACUAACUCCCCUACCUUAUCCAUAAGAGACCCAUCUCAGGAGCUGGACGCUGACACUCCCUUGGAGUUGUUCUUAUCUAGGAGCUCUCACCUGGACUUCCUAGAUUCAAGGCAGUAAGAAUUAACCCACCAGAGAUCUUCUGAACAUCUCCUUUGCCUAACUCCCACCGCUGAAAACUGUGAGGUAAGUCCUCUGAGGGAGUGCUUGAAGGUGUCUGUCCCUCAGGUGGGUUGUC